UGAGAUCCCGCAGUGACUUAUUUUAUGCUAUUAGAGAAAAAAAGAAAAAAAAUCGAGAAAAUUAGGGUUUGUAGUUUUUGGUGUUGUUUUAUUGUAUUUCGUUUGAUUGUAGCUUCUCUCAAUUUAAUGAGAAUUUGUCUGAAGUAUAAUACUCAUAAAUUUUCUUUUUUCCUUUUUCAGUUUUGAUUUUGCCUUUUUUUG
Molecule: unclassified non-coding RNA, 201 nt
Filed under: Hevea brasiliensis (rubber tree)
Lineage: Eukaryota; Viridiplantae; Streptophyta; Magnoliopsida; Malpighiales; Euphorbiaceae
Source: RNAcentral